CAGCCGCCGCGGUAAUACGAAGGGGGCUAGCGUUGCUCGGAAUGACUGGGCGUAAAGGGCGCGUAGGCGGUUUUGACAGUCAGAUGUGAAAUUCCUGGGCUUAACCUGGGGGCUGCAUUUGAGACGUCAAGACUAGAGUGUGAGAGAGGGUUGUGGAAUUCCCAGUGUAGAGGUGAAAUUCGUAGAUAUUGGGAAGAACACCGGUGGCGAAGGCGGCAACCUGGCUCAUUACUGACGCUGAGGCGCGAAAGCGUGGGGAGCAAACAGGAUUAGAUACCCCCGUAGUCCCUGUCUCUUAUAC
Molecule: ribosomal RNA, 301 nt
Filed under: uncultured bacterium
Lineage: Bacteria
Description: partial 16S ribosomal RNA
Rfam family: Bacterial small subunit ribosomal RNA
Source: RNAcentral